This 498-nucleotide ribosomal RNA is filed under the name uncultured bacterium. RNAcentral's name for it is "partial 16S ribosomal RNA". It matches the Rfam family "Bacterial small subunit ribosomal RNA", at positions 30 to 523 of the family's 1533-position model. The record is from RNAcentral.
AUUGAACGCUGGCGGCAUGCCUUACACAUGCAAGUCGAACGGUAACAGGUCUUCGGAUGCUGACGAGUGGCGAACGGGUGAGUAAUACAUCGGAACGUGCCUAGUAGUGGGGGAUAACUACUCGAAAGAGUGGCUAAUACCGCAUGAGAUCUACGGAUGAAAGCAGGGGAUCGCAAGACCUUGUGCUACUAGAGCGGCCGAUGGCAGAUUAGGUAGUUGGUGGGAUAAAAGCUUACCAAGCCGACGAUCUGUAGCUGGUCUGAGAGGACGAUCAGGCACAAUGGGACUGAGACACGGCCCAGACUCCUACGGGAGGCAGCAGUGGGGAAUUUUGGACAAUGGGCGAAAGCCUGAUCCAGCAAUGCCGCGUGCAGGAUGAAGGCCUUCGGGUUGUAAACUGCUUUUGUACGGAACGAAAAGCCCCGGGUUAAUACCCUGGGGUCAUGACGGUGCCGUAAGAAUAAGCACCGGCUAACUACGUGCCAGCCGCCGCCGUAA